GCUUUUUUGACUGAUUUAAUUCAUCUUUUUCUGCUAUUAGAAGUCCUGACUGCAAUCCAAAGACAAAAAAAGAGAACAAAAAAGAUCCAGUGCCAGAAGGGAGAAAUCUUCAGUGUGAGUGAAAGUAAUCUACCCUCAAUUUUGUUGACUAUUACAGGAAAGUCAUUUUACUGCUGGAGAGACAAAGAUUCAUCAUGUGCCUGCUUGCAAAAAUGAGAAGAGAAAGGGAGAGCCAUUGGAACUGUGGAUCUGAUGUGUUCAAUAUAUCUUAUGCAGAUGGAAUGCAAGAGAAACAGAUGUCCUCCCAUGUGCAUUCCAGCUUAUUUUGGCAUCAUCUCAGCUGAUUCCAGGUGACUAAGGCAGAUAUCUAAAAGAAGAGGAAUGAGAGAACUGAAGAAAAAUGACAAGAAAAAGGAAAUUCAACUUUCACCAUAACUGGGGCCUGUGGAAAGUUCAGGUCUUUACCUCUUCCAAGCUGUAUUCUGCUUUUCACUUGCAAGGAAACUUGCCAUGUUUCUGAGUAUUUUCCCAGCUGUUGUCUCACUGUACGUGCUGCCCUAGAGAUAUGUGUGUGUCUGUGGGUGUUGCUGGAAAUGUAGUGUGCUUCCCCCACAUCCACUGCAGCAUACAGUUUGCUUGGUUUGCUUGUGUGAUUAAGGUAAGCGCUAAAAAUGUUAGCAGCCUAGAACCAUUACAAGUCUAAAAGUUGUUCUUCCCUCUCUUCUCUUCUAGGCUUGUGACAUAUGGCCUUUCCCUUGCUAGAGUUCUGCAAUCCUUCAUGGUCUUAGCUCUAAAAAGCCAUUUGUUUGACAUUGUUGGAUGCCCUUAGGCAAAUUAAGACCCUGGUGAAACAGUUUAGUCACAGUCUGGUCUAGUCCACAAAGAAUUUGAAAACAGUUAAGGCUAAAAUAGAAGGAUUUUUAUGGUUCCUUGCCAUAAUAUUUUUAUUUUAUCUUCAAUAUGUACCUCUUAAAUUGCCCAAACUUUUAGUCAGUCCCACUGGACCAUUAUUUUUUCUCUUCUGGAGAUUUUUUUUUUCCAAUACCUUGGAUUUGAUCUGGUCUCUCCCUCUGACACAAAUUGACCAGCUAGCAUCACUAUGUAAGAAAACAGCCCUCUAGUUUAGCUUGCAUUCAUGUGGGUCUCUUGUGAUCCAGUUUAAACCUGAGAUUUUCCAACACCACAUUCUCUCAAAACACAGUGAAAUUUCUUUUUUAUGUCGUAUGUUGGGGGGUGAUUAUGGAGUGUGGGUGAGAAUGAGGAAUAAGGACAGGAAUGCAAGAGACUUUUGUUUCUCUAGUUUUCUGUACUGAUUUCCAAGCAGCAAGGCUAGUUCAGCACAGCUGGCAAUUUUUUUUUUAAAUUCUGGAUGGAAAUAAAGAGAGGAACAGGGUGAAAUUUCCCUCUCUC
RNAcentral lists this long non-coding RNA (1410 nucleotides) under Parus major (Great Tit). Its description in RNAcentral is "lncRNA (ENSPMJG00000013614.1)". The record is from RNAcentral. Lineage: Eukaryota; Metazoa; Chordata; Aves; Passeriformes; Paridae.